Molecule: ribosomal RNA, 440 nt
Filed under: uncultured bacterium
Lineage: Bacteria
Description: partial 16S ribosomal RNA
Rfam family: Bacterial small subunit ribosomal RNA
Source: RNAcentral
CCUACGGGAGGCAGCAGUGGGGGAUCUUGCACAAUGGGGGGAACCCUGAUGCAGCGACGCCGCGUGGGUGAAGGAGCGUUUCGGCGCGUAAAGCUCUAUCGGUAGGGAAGAAGAUGACGGUAACUGACCAAGAAGCCCCGGCUAACUACGGGCCAGCAGCCGCGGUAAUACGUAGGGGGCAAGCGUUAUCCGGAUGGACUGGGGGUAAAGGGGGAGCAGACGGCAAUGCAAGCCAGGCGUGAAAGCCCGGGGCCCAACCCCGGGACUGCUCUUGAAACUGCAUGGCUGGAGUACAGGAGGGGCGGGCGGAAUGCCAAGUGUAGCGGGGAAAUGCGUAGAUAUGAGGAGGAACACCAGUGGUGAAGGCGGCCUUCUGGACUGUGACUGACGUUGAGGCCCGAAGGCGUGGGGAGCAAACAGGAUUAGAUACCCGGGUAGUC